This 964-nucleotide ribosomal RNA is filed under the name Salmonella enterica. Its description in RNAcentral is "bacterial LSU rRNA". It matches the Rfam family "Bacterial large subunit ribosomal RNA", at positions 587 to 1554 of the family's 2925-position model. RNAcentral also lists the same sequence under 2 other names. The record is from RNAcentral. Lineage: Bacteria; Pseudomonadati; Pseudomonadota; Gammaproteobacteria; Enterobacterales; Enterobacteriaceae.
GGUGGGGUGACUGCGUACCUUUUGUAUAAUGGGUCAGCGACUUAUAUUCUGUAGCAAGGUUAACCGUAUAGGGGAGCCGAAGGGAAACCGAGUCUUAACUGGGCGUUAAGUUGCAGGGUAUAGACCCGAAACCCGGUGAUCUAGCCAUGGGCAGGUUGAAGGUUGGGUAACACUAACUGGAGGACCGAACCGACUAAUGUUGAAAAAUUAGCGGAUGACUUGUGGCUGGGGGUGAAAGGCCAAUCAAACCGGGAGAUAGCUGGUUCUCCCCGAAAGCUAUUUAGGUAGCGCCUCGUGAACUCAUCUUCGGGGGUAGAGCACUGUUUCGGCUAGGGGGUCAUCCCGACUUACCAACCCGAUGCAAACUGCGAAUACCGAAGAAUGUUAUCACGGGAGACACACGGCGGGUGCUAACGUCCGUCGUGAAGAGGGAAACAACCCAGACCGCCAGCUAAGGUCCCAAAGUCACAGUUAAGUGGGAAACGAUGUGGGAAGGCUCAGACAGCCAGGAUGUUGGCUUAGAAGCAGCCAUCAUUUAAAGAAAGCGUAAUAGCUCACUGGUCGAGUCGGCCUGCGCGGAAGAUGUAACGGGGCUAAACUGUGCACCGAAGCUGCGGCAGCGACGCUUAUGCGUUGUUGGGUAGGGGAGCGUUCUGUAAGCCUGCGAAGGUGUCCUGUGAGGGAUGCUGGAGGUAUCAGAAGUGCGAAUGCUGACAUAAGUAACGAUAAUGCGGGUGAAAAGCCCGCUCGCCGGAAGACCAAGGGUUCCUGUCCAACGUUAAUCGGGGCAGGGUGAGUCGACCCCUAAGGCGAGGCCGAAAGGCGUAGUCGAUGGGAAACGGGUUAAUAUUCCCGUACUUGGUGUUACUGCGAAGGGGGGACGGAGAAGGCUAUGUUGGCCGGGCGACGGUUGUCCCGGUUUAAGCGUGUAGGCUGGUUUUCCAGGCAAAUCCGGAAAAUCAAG